ACUUGGGUGAGAGUGGUCCUGUAGGCAC
Molecule: unclassified non-coding RNA, 28 nt
Filed under: Dictyostelium discoideum
Lineage: Eukaryota; Evosea; Eumycetozoa; Dictyosteliales; Dictyosteliaceae
Source: RNAcentral